AUUGAACGCUGGCGGCAGGCCUAACACAUGAAAGUUGGGCGAGCGGCGGACGGGUGAGUAAUGUAUGGGGAUCUGCCUGAUGGAGGGGGAUAACUACUGGAAACGGUAGCUAAUACCGCAUACCAUCAGAUGAACCCAUAUGGGAUUAGCUUGUAGGUGAGGUAACGGCUCACCUAGGCGACGAUCCCUAGCUGGUCUGAGAGGAUGAUCAGCCACACUGGGACUGGGCCACGGCCCAGACUCCUACGGAAGGCAGCAGUGGGGAAACUUGCAAAAUGGGCGCAAGCCUGAUGCAGCCAUGCCGCGUGUCUGAAGAAGUCCUUCGAGUUGUAAAGUACUUUCAGUCGAGAGGCGUUACCGGCAGAAGAAGCACCGGCUAACUCCGUGCCAGCAGCCGCGGUAAUAC
This 406-nucleotide ribosomal RNA is filed under the name uncultured bacterium. Its description in RNAcentral is "partial 16S ribosomal RNA". It matches the Rfam family "Bacterial small subunit ribosomal RNA", at positions 30 to 526 of the family's 1533-position model. The record is from RNAcentral.